Molecule: microRNA, 21 nt
Filed under: Branchiostoma floridae (Florida lancelet)
Lineage: Eukaryota; Metazoa; Chordata; Leptocardii; Amphioxiformes; Branchiostomatidae
Also listed under: 1 other name
Description: bfl-miR-135b
Gene: bfl-miR-135b
Source: miRBase by way of RNAcentral
AAUGGCUUUCAUCCUUUGUGA